CCGGACCUUACUGCUAUCGGGGUGGGACUAAGACAUGCGAGUCGAGCGUCUCUAGCUAUGUUGAGACGCGGCAGACGGCUCAGUAACACGUGGCUAACCUACCCUCAGGACGAGGACAAACCCGGGAAACUGGGGCUAAUACUCGAUAGGUGAGAAUGUCUGGAAUGAUUUCUCACUCAAAGGGCCUUGGGAACAUGCUUCCAAUGUCGCCUGGGGAUGGGGCCGCGUCCGAUCAGGUUGUUGGUGAGGUAAUGGCUCACCAAGCCUAUAACCGGUACGGGCCGUGAGAGCGGUAGCCCGGAGAUGGGUACUGAGACAAGGACCCAGGCCCUACGGGGCGCAGCAGUCGCGAAAACUCCGCAAUGCACGAAAGUGUGACGGGGCUACCCCGAGUGCCAUCCGCUGAGGGUGGCUUUUCCUUGGUAUAACUAGCCGAGGGAAUAAGGAGAGGGCAAGACUGGUGUCAGCCGCCGCGGUAAUACCAGCUCUCCGAGUGGUAGGGAUGAUUAUUGGGCUUAAAGCGUCCGUAGCCGGCUUAGCAAGUCUCCUGUUAAAUUCAGCGACCUAAUCGUUGAGCCGCGGGAGAUACUACUAGGCUAGGAGGCGGGAGAGGUCGACGGUACUUCUGGGGUAGGGGUGAAAUCCUAUAAUCCCAGGAGGACCACCAGUGGCCAAAGGCUGUCGACUAGAACGCGCUCCACGGUGAGGGACGAAAGCUGGGGGAGCGAACCGGAUUAGAUACCCGGUAGUCCCAGCUCUUAAACGAUGCGGGCCAAGGUGUUGGGAGGCUACGU
RNAcentral lists this ribosomal RNA (794 nucleotides) under uncultured archaeon. RNAcentral describes it as "bacterial SSU rRNA". It matches the Rfam family "Archaeal small subunit ribosomal RNA", at positions 17 to 788 of the family's 1478-position model. The record is from RNAcentral.